Nicotiana attenuata is the source of this 119-nucleotide non-coding RNA. The record is from Rfam. Lineage: Eukaryota; Viridiplantae; Streptophyta; Magnoliopsida; Solanales; Solanaceae.
GGAUGCGAUCAUACCAGCACUAACGCACCGGAUCCCAUCAGAACUCCGAAGUUAAGCGUGCUUGGGCGAGAGUAGUACUAGGAUGGGUGACCCCCUGGGAAGUCCACGUGUUGCAUCCC